UGACAUGUGCUUUUGUUUAAUCCUCACAAC
RNAcentral lists this non-coding RNA (30 nucleotides) under Mus musculus (house mouse). Lineage: Eukaryota; Metazoa; Chordata; Mammalia; Rodentia; Muridae. The record is from RNAcentral.